AAGUCAACAGAUAAAAUUACGCACAUUUCGAUCUGACUAUACGUGUCUUGCGAGGGCUGGCUUUAGUUAAUUUGGAACCAUCUACAAAACAUGUACAUGUGUGGGCUCAUUACCUCCGGUUUACAACCUGGUGAUACGGCUUCUGUCUGUAAUGCACUUAGUUCGAUCUGGAGCCAUUGGAUGGGCUGAUGGCAGCCAAGUGGACACAAGGUUGUUUGGCUCAUCUCAGUUGCGAAGAGGAAGAACUUUGCAGCUGUUUCUGAUUAAUAAACAAUGCCAUGCUGGAUUACAGUUUAGAAGAGCCACUGACCAUCAAGGGGCACAGGCUGGGUUGCAGAAAUGAUUGGACGGGAAGACCGACUGCAAGGAGAGGCUGACCGAGAUGAAGGCUAAAUUACAAGGACUGUCCUUGGAAGAAAGGGGAGAGGUGCUUGAGCUGGUCGCUUCCAGUCUACCUUGAGUGAUUUUUGAAUACCGGAGAGGUAUCUCAGGGUCUCCAGACAUCCCAGAGCAUGGACAACCUCGCUGGUGCACCUGCCUGAAUUGCAGGGGGACUCCUACACCUUACGACACAAAACUGCUGCCAUUUCACCGCUGCACUAUUCCGUAUAUUUAUUACCAAGUAUGUUUACAUAACAGUUGAACUUUCCACCACUACACUGUACUUUAUUCUUCAUUUGGAUCUCAAUUAUGAAAAAUAUUUCAUUUGGGGACAUCUUUGUAAAUAGUUUUUUUUGUGAUUAUUUUUCCCCCAGUCUGGGUGAUAUCAUUUCAGUACCUUACACCAGGGGUGUCAAACACAUUCCAUGGAGGGUUUAAUGUCUGCAGGUAUUGGGUUUUUCCUUUCAUUUAAGACAACCAGUUGAGGGAAGCUCUCUACUAAUUGGUGACCUUAAUUAAUCAAUCAAGUACAAGGGAGGAGUAAAAACCCACAUACACUCAGCCCUCCAUGGAAUGAGUUUGACACAUGCCUUACUGUGCUUUUUUUAAUUUGGAGAAAGUUACAGAAAUUACCUUGUAUUUUUGUUUAUCUCUCAAAUAAAACUUUAUUUGACCUUAUCUGUGUAAUCAGACCGACUUGUUUUGUACUGUAUUUACACCAGAGUAGUCCAUCCAUUUUUCUGGAUAUAUACCCAACUGUAGGUCUGCUAAUUUGUAGUGAAAAUUGUCAAUAGUAUACAUAUCCAGAAAAAGAUAACAGUUUAGUAAAUAAUUCCAAAACCAUUCCAAAAGUUAAAUAAUGAUGCCUAUAUGCUUGAUAAAGAAUGCACAAAUAUUGUUUCUCACACAAGUUUGUUGCCCACACAAACUUCCCUUAUUUACAUAUGAUUUAUAUGUUUGGUUGCAGGCCCACCACUUUCAACAACAUUUCUGAGUACUCUGUAGGUUUUCACACUUCCCGGGAAAUCUGACAAUAGGGAAAGCUCAGGUGUGCUAACUGCAUCUUGUGUUGCGUGGCGACUUCUCCUCAAAGUUGUAGCAGCUCAGCCAUUGUUGGUGGUGGCUCUUCAGGAGUCUUGGUUCAUCUGAUCUCAGGAUCAUUCUCCUUGGAAGCCCCAAGCGAGAGCCGUUCUUCUCAACAUUGCUUUCGUUCUGGGAUGGAUGUGUAGUCCUAUGCAGUUUUCAAUGCGUAGACACAGUCUCAUGUAGCUGAAAGAAAAUAUUUGGUGAGUAUUUUGUCUAUACAUUUACAGAACUGUAGUGUUGAUAUCUGUUGAAAAUAUAAC
This 1727-nucleotide long non-coding RNA is filed under the name Salmo salar (Atlantic salmon). RNAcentral's name for it is "lncRNA (ENSSSAG00000082869.1, ENSSSAG00000117912.1)". The record is from RNAcentral. Lineage: Eukaryota; Metazoa; Chordata; Actinopteri; Salmoniformes; Salmonidae.